GAUGAAGAACGUAGUGAAAUGCGAUAAGUAAUGUGAAUUGCAGAAUUCAGUGAAUCAUCGAAUCUUUGAACGCACCUUGCGCCCUUUGGCCAUUCCGAAGGGCAUGCCUGUUUGAGUAUCAUGAACACCUCAACUCUUCAUGGUUUUCCAUGAUGAGCUUGGACUUUGGGGGUCUUGCUGGCCUGUGGGUCGGCUCCUCUCAAAUGAAUCAGCUUGCCGGUUUUUGGUGGGCAUCACAGGUGUGAUAACUAUCUACGCUUGUGGUUUUCCACCAGGGUAACCUUCAGCAGUGGAGGUUCACUGGAGCUUACAAAUGUCUCUCCUCUGUGAGGACAGCCCUUUGAAUGUUUGAUCUCAAAUCAGGUAGGACUACCCGCUGAACUUAAGCAUAUCAAUAAGCGGAGGA
This 406-nucleotide unclassified non-coding RNA is filed under the name soil metagenome. RNAcentral's name for it is "partial contains 5.8S ribosomal RNA, internal transcribed spacer 2, and large subunit ribosomal RNA". The stretch from base 1 to 121 matches the Rfam family "5.8S ribosomal RNA", at positions 35 to 154 of the family's 154-position model. The record is from RNAcentral.